RNAcentral lists this ribosomal RNA (229 nucleotides) under uncultured bacterium. Its description in RNAcentral is "partial 16S ribosomal RNA". It matches the Rfam family "Bacterial small subunit ribosomal RNA", at positions 568 to 796 of the family's 1533-position model. The record is from RNAcentral.
UGUGUAGGUGGUUUAAUAAGUCAGUGGUGAAAGCCCGGAGCUCAACUUCGGAACUGCCAUUGAUACUGUUAAACUUGAGUUCGGUUGAGGUAGGCGGAAUGUAGCAUGUAGCGGUGAAAUGCAUAGAUAUGCUACAGAACACCAAUUGCGAAGGCAGCUUACUAAGCCGAUACUGACACUGAGACACGAAAGCGUGGGUAGCGAACAGGAUUAGAUACCCUGGUAGUCC